UACUAAGUUUCAACAACGGAUCUCUUGNNUCUCGCAUCGAUGAAGAACGCAGCGAAAUGCGAUAAGUAAUGUGAAUUGCAGAAUUCAGUGAAUCAUCGAAUCUUU
RNAcentral lists this ribosomal RNA (105 nucleotides) under Rhizoctonia solani. RNAcentral's name for it is "5.8S ribosomal RNA". It matches the Rfam family "5.8S ribosomal RNA", at positions 1 to 101 of the family's 154-position model. From Rfam's summary of the family: 5.8S ribosomal RNA (5.8S rRNA) is a component of the large subunit of the eukaryotic ribosome. Lineage: Eukaryota; Fungi; Basidiomycota; Agaricomycetes; Cantharellales; Ceratobasidiaceae. The record is from RNAcentral.